Xyrichtys novacula (pearly razorfish) is the source of this 6346-nucleotide non-coding RNA. The record is from the annotation of a GenBank genome assembly. Lineage: Eukaryota; Metazoa; Chordata; Actinopteri; Labriformes; Labridae.
UAAUAACUAGAAAAAUUGCAUUUCCUUGCAGAAAAUGCGUGGAAAUGCUGAGUGCUGAAAGCUGAAAAAGCAAUGCUAAACUGCUAAUAAAACAUGGAGAAAGGUAUAAAUGUUAAAGCUGUUGAAGGGGUGAACAGAAAUAUAAGUUGGAUAAUUGAUUAAUUGGUUGAAGGACAAAUAGUAUGAAUAUGCUCUAUAAAAGGAAAUUUUAUUCAUGCUGAAAGAGGCUAGAAAAAUGUCUAAAAUUGCACAAAGUUUGAAUGAAGAAGGAAAUUGCCUUAAAAGGCAGGAAGGUGAGAAGUGGCAUAAGUUUAAAUUGUAGUACUAGAAGUAGUAUGAUAAGAAGUCAAGUCGUGAUACUAGUAGUCAUGUCAGCAGUAGAAGUAGAUUGAGAAUAAAAGAAGUAUAAGUCAAAGUAGUAAAGAAAGUAGAAAUAGGAGCAAUAGCAGUUGAAGUAGAGGGGAAAGUUCUAGUUUAAUUGACAUUAGCAGUAGUUGUCGUACUUGAGGUAGGAUUAUGUUUGAAUGAUGGAGUAAUGCAUAAAUAUUAAAACUAAUUUAAAACAGGGAAAUUUUAAAUUAUCAAAAGUCCUCAAGUAUCAUUAAGUUUUGAAGUAUUAGAAAGGUUUGAAUCAGUUUGAAUGAGUUUAAAUUAGUUUGAAAAAUUAAAUGAUAAAUCAUGACUGACUGACUUUUAAAAUGUGAAAAAUUUAAAUGAAUAACAAUCCUAAAUACACCCAAUAAUGUCCUCAAUGAGCUUAAAUUUCAAAGCCCUGAAUGGUUUCUGUAGGUCAAAGGUCAUGUGAGGAGAUAGGGGCUGAAGUUUUUUCCAACGCUCUAGGAAAGGGUUUUAAGUGUCAUCCCAAUUGCUAUGUGUACUGAGCCUGGCUUCAUGUGUCUCAUAUGGCCACUAGAAGCAGCUUUCCAGUCAGCUGUGUGUCUCCAGGUGCACAAAUUGGUUGCCAUGGGGACCUUGGAUGCAUAACUAUAGCAGGAGAAAGAAGGCUUGAAGCUAAAGAAACAGGACUCCAAGUAGGCCCUGACGCUCACCCUCUGUAUAUAUUCAUAAGGAGCUUGUGAGAACACAAGACUCUGCUGAACACAUUAAUACAAUUUAUUAUCACAAUCCUCAAAACACCCCAUAUUAUCUUCAAUGAGCUGAAUUUUUGAAGCCCAGAAUGGUUUCUGUAGCUCAAAGUUUGUGGGUGGAGAUAGGUGGUGAAGCAGACACAUAUUAACUGUGUGUACAAGCAGCUGAACUGCAAGGUGGACCUCAAAAAGCAACAAGUACAAGAAGGUGUGUGUGCGUGUGUGUGUGUGUGUGUCUCGUUAAUGACUGCAUCCUAAACAGCUGUGAGAUCAAAGGCAAAUCACUAACCUACUGUUUGACUGAGAGGUGCUGAACUGCAGUGAAUUUCAGCCUGUGAACUUCUUCACAUAGCGUGAUUUCCUUAAGUCCCAGAAUGAAAAUAAGAACAUCGUACGAAUCCUCCGUCCUUCAUGAACACAAUGAUGUGUUUUUCAUGUCUGUACUUCGAAAAAUGAGGCCACAACAGCGAGUUAAAAAAGUCUGAGCCUGAGCGAUGAUCCGGAUUUUCUUGGAGAAAAAUAACAUUAUGGUCAAUGGGAGAGAUUUCCGCCUUCCUUGGACAGUUGGUCACCUGCUGGCCAAGGGGUACGAUUUAAUGAUUUGAAACCUCUUUUGUGAGAAGCAGGACACAUAUACCUCCAUUUUGAUGUAUUAUUUAUGGCUCUGGAGUGAGAUUUGUGGGCGUGGGAGCGAUAUAUUCGAGCGAGGUUCUGUCGAUCAGAGACGGGGUCUGCACUCUAGCUUUUCAAAUCCUCACUCUAGCCUCUCCAAUUCACCCCCAUUAUAAAACCUGAAAUUUGCUGAAAACCACAAGUUGCUUAAAGCUAAAUUGUGGAAAAACUGUAAAAGAUAGCACAAAAAGGUUAAUACAACAUCAAUAGUCGACAAGACAAUGAACAUUUUAAAGCAAAAAUGAGGUCUCUAGGUGAAAGUAUGCUGAAGUUAUAAGGCUUAGAAGGUGGACGAAUAACAGGAAGUAUUGGAAGAUUUCCCCAUUCGUUUCUAUGGGAAAAAAAGUUUGGCACAAAAAGUGAAAAAUAAUAAAAAGUACAAAGGAUAGAAAGGAAAAAAAUACAAGCACACAUGUCCUGAUGGAGUGGAAUAGUUUAAAGUUUGAACGGUUGAAAUCGGACAAAGUUUGAAGGAGGAGAAGCGGUCCAAAGAAACGUAUGGGGAGAGUGUUAAGUAUAAUACUAGAAAAAUUGCAUUUCCUUGCAGAAAAUGCGUGGAAAUGCUGAGUGCUGAAAGCUGAAAAAGCAAUGCUAAACUGCUAAUAAAACAUGGAGAAAUGUAUAAAUGUUAAAGCUGUUGAAGGGGUGUGAAAGAAAUGUAAGUUGGAUAAUUGAUUAAUUGGUUGAAGGACAAAUAGUAUGAAUAUGCUCUAUAAAAAGAAAUUUUAUUCAUGCUGAAAGAGGCUAGAAAAAUGUCUAAAAUUGCACAAAGUUUGAAUGAAGAAGGAAAUUGCCUUAAAAGGCAGGAAGGUGAGAAGUGGCAUAAGUUUAAUUUUUGAAGUAUUAGAAAGGUUUGAAUCAGUUUGAAUCAGUUCAAAUUAGUUUGAAAAAUUAAAUGAUAAAUCAUCACUGAGUGACUUUAAAAUGUGAAAAAUCUAAAUGUAUAUAAAUCCUAAAUACACCCCCUAAUGUCCUCAAUGAGCUCAAAUUUUAAAGCCCUGAAUGGUUUCUGUAGGUCAAAGGUCAUGUGAGGAGAUAGGGGCUGAAGUUUUUUCAAGCGCUCUAGUAAAGGGUUUUAAGUGUCAUCCCCAGUGCUAUGUGUGCUGAGCCUAGCUUCAUGUGUCUCAUAUGGCCAUUAGAAGCAGCUUUCCAGUCAGCUGUGUGUCUCCAGGUGCACUAAUUGGUUGCCAUGGGGACCUUGGAUGCAUAACUAUAGCAGGAGAAAGAAGGCUUGAAGCUAAGGAAACAGGACUCCAAGUAGGCCCUGACGCUCAUCCUCUGUAUCUAUUCCUGAUAAGGAGCUUGUGAGAACACAAGACUCUGCUAAACACAUUAAUACAAUUUAUUAUCACAAUCCUCAAAACACCCCAUAAUAUCUUCAAUGAGCUGAAUUUUAGAAGCCCAGAAUGGUUUCUGUAGCUCAAAGUUUGUGGGUGGAGAUAGGUGGCGAAGCAGACACAUAUUAACUGUGUGUACAAGCAGCUGAACUGCAAGGUAGACCUCAUAAAGCAACAAGUACAAGAAUGUGUGUGUGUGUGUGUGUGUGUGUCUCGUUAAUGACUGCAUCCUAAACAGCUGUGAGAUCAAAGGCAAAUCACUGACCUACUGUUUGAAUGAGAAGCAGCUGAACUGCAGAGGAUUUAGAGGCUCUAAACUUCUUCACAUAGCGUGAUUUCCUUAAGUCCCAGAAUGAAAAUAAGAACAUCGUACGAAUCCUCCGCCCUUCAUGAACACAAUGAUGUGUUUUUCAUGUCUGUACUUUGAAAAAUGAGGCCACAACAGCGAGUUAAAAAAGUCUGAGCCUGAGCGAUGAUCCGGAUUUUCUUGGAGAAGAAAUACAUUAGGUCUAAUGGGGAGAGAUUUCCGCCUAUUUGGACAGUUGGUCACCUGCUGGCCAAGGGGUAAGAUUUAAUGAUUUGAAACCUCUUUUGUGAGAAGCAGGACACAUAUACCUCCAUUUUGAUGUAUUUUUUAUGGGUGUGGAGUGAGAUUUGUGAGCGUGGGAGCGAUAUAUUCGAGCGAGGUUCUGUCCAUCAGAGACGAGGUCUGCACUCUAGCUGAUGACAUCAUCACUCUAAACUCUCCAAUACACACCCAUUAUAAAGCUUGAAAUUUGCUGAAAACCACAAGUUGCAUGAAGCUAAAUUGUGGAAGAACUGUAGAAGAUAGCACAAAAAAGUGAAUACAACAUUAAUAGCCGACAAGUUAAUGAACAUUUUAAAGCAAAAAUGAGGUCUCUAGGUGAAAGUAUGCUGAAGUUAUAAGGCUUAGAAGGUGGAAGAAUAAAAGGAAGAUAUGGAAGAUUUCCCCAUUGACUUCAAUGUUAAAAUUUUUGCACAAAAAGUUUAAAAAAAACAAAAAGUAUAAAAGGUAGAAGAGUGAAAAGUAAUAGCUAUCAUGUCCUGAAGGAGUGGAAUAGUUUAAAGUUUGAACGGUUGAAAUCGGACAAAGUUUGAAGGAGGAGAAGCGGUCCAAAAAAGGUACGGAAGAAUAAUAAUAAGUUGAAUAAAGAAACAGGAGAAUAACAAUAAGUGGAAAUGCUUAAUCAGCAUUUCCACUUAACUAGAAAAAUUGCAUUUCCUUGCAGAAAAUGCGUGGAAAUGCUGAGUGCUGAAAGCUGAAAAAGCAAUGCAAAACUGCUAAUAAAACAUGGAGAAAUGUAUAAAUGUUAAAGCUGUCUAAGGGGUGUGAAAGAAAUGUAAGUUGGAUAAUUGAUUAAUUGGUUGAAGGACAAAUAGUAUGAAUAUGCUCUAUAAAAAGAAAUUUUAUUCAUGCUGAAAGAGGCUAGAAAAAUGUCUAAAAUUGCACAAAGUUUGAAUGAAGAAGGAAAUUGCCUUAAAAGGCAGGAAGGUGAGAAGUGGCAUAAGUUUAAUUUUUUAAGUAUGAGAAAGGUUUGAAUCAGUUUGAAUCAGUUCAAAUUAGUUUGAAAAAUUAAAUGAUACAUCAUCACUGAGUGACUUUAAAAUGUGAAAAAUCUAAAUGUAUAUAAAUCCUAAAUACACCCCAUAAUGUCCUCAAUGAGCUCAAAUUUUAAAGCCCUGAAUGGUUUCUGUAGGUCAAAGGUCAUGUGAGGAGAUAGGGGCUGAAGUUUUUUCAAGCACUCUAGUAAAGGGUUUUAAGUGUCAUCCCCAGUGCUAUGUGUGCUGAGCCUGGCUUCAUGUGUCUCAUAUGGCCAUUAGAAGCAGCUUUCCAGUCAGCUGUGUGUCUCUAGGUGCACUAAUUGGUUGCCAUGGGGACCUUGGAUGCAUAACUAUAGCAGGAGAAAGAAGGCUUGAAGCUAAGGAAACAGGACUCCAAGAAGGCCCUGACGCUCAUCCUCUGUAUCUAUUCCUGAUAAGGAGCUUGUGAGAACACAAGACUCUGCUAAACACAUUAAUACAAUUUAUUAUCACAAUCCUCAAAACACCCCAUAAUAUCUUCAAUGAGCUGAAUUUUUGAAGCCCAGAAUGGUUUCUGUAGCUCAAAGUUUGUGGGUGGAGAUAGGUGGCGAAGCAGACACAUAUUAACUGUGUGUACAAGCAGCUGAACUGCAAGGUAGACCUCAUAAAGCAACAAGUACAAGAAUGUGUGUGUGUGUGUGUGUGUGUGUGUGUGUGUCUCGUUAAUGACUGCAUCCUAAACAGCUGUGAGAUCAAAGGCAAAUCACUGACCUACUGUUUGAAUGAGAAGCAGCUGAACUGCAGAGGAUUUAGAGGCUCUAAACUUCUUCACAUAGCGUGAUUUCCUUAAGUCACAGAAUGAAAAUAAGAACAUCGUACGAAUCCUCCGCCCUUCAUGAACACAAUGAUGUAUUUUUCAUGUCUGUACUCCGACAAAUGUGGCCACAACAGCGAGUUAAAAAAGUCUGAGCCUGAGCGAUGAUCCGGAUUUUCUUGGCGAAAAAUAACAUUAUGGUCAAUGGGAGAGAUUUCCGCCUUCUUUGGACAGUUGGUCACCUGCUGGCCAAGGGGUACGAUUUAAUGAUUUGAAACCUCUUUUGUGAGAAGCAGGACACAUAUACCUCCAUUUUGAUGUAUUAUUUGUGUCAGUGGAGUGAGAUUUGUGGGCGUGGGAGCGAUAUAUUCGAGCGAGGUUCUGUCGAUCAGAGACGAGGUCUGCACUCUAGCUGAUGACAUCAUCACUCUAAACUCUCCAAUACACACCCAUUAUAAAGCUUGAAAUUUGCUGAAAACCACAAGUUGCUUAAAGCUAAAUUGUGGAAAAACUGUAAGAGAUAUCAAAAAACUGAGUACAACUUUAAUAGUCGACAAGUGAAUGAACAUUUUAAAGCAAAAAUGAGGUCUCUAGGUGAAAGUAUGCUGAAGUUAUAAGGUCUAGAAGGUGGAAGAAUAAAAGGAAGAAUUGGAAGAUUUCCCCAUUGACUUCAAUGUUAAAAUUUUUGCACAAAAAGUUAAAAAAAACAAAAAGUAUAAAUGUUAGAAAAGUGAAAAGUAAUAGCAAACGUGUCCUGAAGGAGUGGAAUAGUUUAAAGUUUGAACGGUUGAAAUCGGACAAACUGGGAAGGAGUUGAAAGCGGACGAAAAACGGCGGAAGAAUAAUAAUAAUAAUAAUAAUAAUAAUAAUAAAGAAACGGGAGAAUAACAAUA